Molecule: unclassified non-coding RNA, 349 nt
Filed under: plant metagenome
Description: partial contains 5.8S ribosomal RNA, internal transcribed spacer 2, and large subunit ribosomal RNA
Rfam family: 5.8S ribosomal RNA (bases 1-104)
Source: RNAcentral
AAAUGCGAUAAGUAAUGUGAAUUGCAGAAUUCAGUGAAUCAUCGAAUCUUUGAACGCACCUUGCGCUCCUUGGUAUUCCGAGGAGCAUGCCUGUUUGAGUGUCAUGGAAUUCUCAACUCUAUUUGCUUUUGUGAAUAGAGCUUGGAUUUGGAGGUUUAUUGCUGGUACUUGUGAUCGGCUCCUCUUGAAUGCAUUAGCUCGAACCUUUGCGGAUCAGCUAUCGGUGUGAUAAUUGUCUACGCCGUUGCAGUGAAGCAUAUCAAUGGGCUCGGCUUCCAAUCGUCCUUUACUGGACAAUGACUUUGCCCUUUGACCUCAAAUCAGGUAGGAUUACCCGCUGAACUUAAGC